Molecule: ribosomal RNA, 253 nt
Filed under: uncultured bacterium
Lineage: Bacteria
Description: partial 16S ribosomal RNA
Rfam family: Bacterial small subunit ribosomal RNA
Source: RNAcentral
UACGAAGGGGGCUAGCGUUGUUCGGAAUUACUGGGCGUAAAGGGCGCGUAGGCGGUGUGUCAAGUCAGGCGUGAAAGCCCCGGGCUCAACCUGGGAACCGCGCUUGAGACUGGCACGCUCGAGUUCGGGAGAGGAUGGUGGAAUUCCCGGUGUAGCGGUGAAAUGCGCAGAUAUCGGGAGGAACACCAGUGGCGAAGGCGGCGCUCUGGGCCGGAACUGACGCUGAGGAGCGAAAGCGUGGGUAGCAAACAGG